CAAAAGUUUGGUCCUAGCCUUAUUAUCAAUUUUUUCUCAAAUUACACAUGCAAGUCUCAGCACGCCCGUGAGGACACCCUUAUACCCUUAACCAGACUAAGGAGCUGGCAUCAGGCACAAUACCCGCCCACAACGCCUAGUCCCACCACACCCACAAGGGCACUCAGCAGUGAUAAAUAUUGCCUAUAAGCGACAGCUUGACUCAGUUAAAGAAAAUAGAGCCGGCCAACUCGGUGCCAGCCGCCGCGGCUAAACCGCAUGGGCUCAAACUGAUAUCAUCGGCGUUAAGCGUGAUUAAAGUCUUCCUACAACUAGAGUAAAACCUACACUUAGCUGUGAAAAGCUUGAUGCUAGAGAAAACCACAAACGAAAGUUACUCUAGAKAUUACUUGAAUACACGACAGCUGG
Molecule: ribosomal RNA, 408 nt
Filed under: Quasipaa boulengeri (spiny-bellied frog)
Lineage: Eukaryota; Metazoa; Chordata; Amphibia; Anura; Dicroglossidae
Description: partial 12S ribosomal RNA
Source: RNAcentral